UGUUAUCGCUGUAACUGGCGUGGGUGGGUCACCACCGGGGAGCGGCGAGCCCUUGAAACUUAAGUUUUAAGGGGUAAACCAUGGCGCCGCCCGCCUGGGUGCCUAGG
Molecule: non-coding RNA, 107 nt
Filed under: Actinomyces graevenitzii
Lineage: Bacteria; Bacillati; Actinomycetota; Actinomycetes; Actinomycetales; Actinomycetaceae
Also listed under: 1 other name
Description: ZTP sequence
Rfam family: ZMP/ZTP riboswitch aptamer (pfl RNA motif)
About the family: Previously known as pfl RNA. ZMP is also known as AICAR.
Source: RNAcentral